AUGGGACUAUGGGAGUUCAUCCUGCGCGGCGGCGGCCGGCGGUUCAUCAAGCGCAAGGGCAGCGACGCCGGCGAGGCUGGCAGGGCAAUGGAAGAGCUGAGAGGUUCUCUCUACAAUGAAUUUCAUACUUCGGAAGGGGCUAAGCGACAGCAGCAGAGGUUUUGUGGCCCGGGUGUCGCGCUAACAUUCAACUUUGUGGUUUCUGUUGGGAUCAUCAUGGCAAACAAAAUGGUGAUGGGUAGUGUUGGGUUUAACUUCCCAGUUGCACUGUCUCUAAUUCAUUACAUAGCUGCCUGGGUCCUCAUGGCUGUCCUGAGGGCAUUAUACUUGAUGCCCAUCGCUCCUCCUUCAAAAUCCACUCCUUUCUCCUCAUUAUUCGCUUUGGGUGCUGUGAUGUCUUUUUCCACUGGACUUGCUAAUAUCAGCUUAAAGCAUAAUAGUGUAGGGUUUUAUCAAAUGGCUAAGAUAGCUGUAACUCCAACCAUAGUUGCAGCAGAAUUUAUUCUUCUCAAAAAAGGUGUUUCCUUUCGAAAGGUCAUCACACUAGUUAUAGUGUCAUUUGGUGUGGCUGUAGCAACUGUUACUGAUUUGGAGUUCAACUUUUUUGGUGCUUGUGUAGCAAUAGCUUGGAUCAUUCCUAGUGCUAUAAACAAGAUCCUGUGGUCAAAUCUGCAACAGAGUGGAAACUGGACUGCUCUUGCGUUGAUGUGGAAGACAACCCCAAUUACGAUAUUUUUCUUUCUUGUCCUGAUGCCUGUGAUGGAUCCUCCGGGAUUGUUGGCUUUCAACUGGAAUUUCAAUAACAGCUGUGCAAUUAUGAUAUCUGCUUUGCUUGGUUUUCUUCUUCAGUGGUCCGGUGCUUUGGCACUUGGUGCAACCUCGGCUCUAUCUCAUGUUGUGCUAGGACAAUUCAAGACUAUUGUCAUAAUGCUCUCUGGGUUUCUGGUAUUUAAAUCUGAUCCUGGACUCACCAGUCUUUAUGGAGCUGUCAUUGCACUAGGAGGCAUGUCAGUCUACACUUACCUAGGGCUAAAAGAGUCAACCACCGGUGGUAAGAGUAUUCCAUCAACAUCUAGGCAGAGUUCUCUCUCAUUGAAGUCCAAGGUUAUAAUAGAUGGAGAAAAGCCAGAAACAAGACCUGUUGACUCUGUCUAA
Molecule: ribosomal RNA, 1155 nt
Filed under: Triticum aestivum (bread wheat)
Lineage: Eukaryota; Viridiplantae; Streptophyta; Magnoliopsida; Poales; Poaceae
Description: partial small subunit ribosomal RNA
Source: RNAcentral